CAAUUGCCAAUCUUAACCCAGAAUGCUCUUAUGAAGAAGAAUGCAAAGUUCUAGUUGAUGAAGAGCAAAAAGUUCUAUGUAGCUGUGGUCAAUUUGAAAGAGUUGGUAUAUUGUGUAGUCAUGCUUUGAAAACCCUUGAUGUCAUGAAUAUUAAGUAUCUUACAAGCCACUAUAUUUUGAAGCGAUGGACUCGAGAAGCACGAAGCGGCACUAUUCAAAACAGCCAUGGCAACAUUGUUUUGGAAGACCCUAGAUCGGAAGAUAGGCAGCAGCUUAAGUUUUUCAUGCAUGAGUUCCUUGGCAUAGCUUUCCAAGCAGUUGCAUCACAAGAUUGCAUAAAAUUAGUAGAUGAUGCUUUGAAGAAUCUAAAGAAGCAAGUUGAAGACAAAGCUCCUACUACUACAUGCAGAACUGAAGCUAUAUCUCAGGAACAAGACAUUUGUUUGCAAACAGCUUGUCUGAAGAAAAAGGAAAUUCAGCAGAAGACUUCAAAAAGGAAGAAAUCAUGGCUUGAUAAUCAACAUCCCAGUAAAAAGAAAAAAGGGGCAGCUAAAGUCAUUCCCGAAAAACAAUCUUCUUUUGUAAAUCUCUUAUCACUUAUCAAAAAAGCCUAUAGAUUUACUAAUAACUCAACUAAUGUUUAUUCUGAUUUAUUUUUUGCAUAGACAGGAGAGAAGUACAUUCCAGUUGCACAAUGCAAAGUACCUAUAGAGGAAAUGACUGGAACAAAUGCAGAUGGUUUGCAGGAAUAUGGGUACUAUGCUCGUUUACUAACGGAUUUUCAGAUGAUCAGUGAGAUACAGUAGGGUCGCGAGUCUUCACUCAACAUGUUCUCUAGUGGGCAUUGAUGGCCUCAUCGUUUAUUAUGCCACCUUUCCGCUGUUAUUAUUGAAUAAGUUAGCCAUGUGCUAUUCAGUUUGUAAUACUUUAUAAAUUCUGGAUCAUACGUUGUAGUAAAUGAUGCACUUGUUA
Non-coding RNA from Aegilops tauschii subsp. strangulata, 972 nucleotides. The record is from RefSeq and is a predicted model, not a curated record. Lineage: Eukaryota; Viridiplantae; Streptophyta; Magnoliopsida; Poales; Poaceae.